UGGGGGAUAUUGCACAAUGGGCGAAAGCCUGAUGCAGCGACGCCGCGUGGGGGAUGAAGGCUUUCGGGUUGUAAACCUCUUUCGCUAUCGAACAAGGCCCGCUUAGGGUGGGUUGAGGGUAGGUGGAGAAGAAGCGCCGGCUAACUACGUGCCAGCAGCCGCGGUAAUACGUAGGGCGCGAGCGUUGUCCGGAAUUAUUGGGCGUAAAGGGCUUGUAGGCGGCUUGUUGCGCCUGCUGUGAAAACGCGGGGCUUAACUUCGCGCGUGCAGUGGGUACGGGCAGGCUUGAGGGUGGUAGGGGUGACUGGAAUUCCAGGUGUAGCGGUGGAAUGCGCAGAUAUCUGGAGGAACACCGAUGGCGAAGGCAGGUCACUGGGCCAUUACUGACGCUGAGGGGCGAAAGCAUGGGUAGCGAACAGG
RNAcentral lists this ribosomal RNA (420 nucleotides) under bacterium. RNAcentral's name for it is "partial 16S ribosomal RNA". It matches the Rfam family "Bacterial small subunit ribosomal RNA", at positions 355 to 776 of the family's 1533-position model. The record is from RNAcentral.